CCACACCGACCCCAUGGUGUUAGAGCAGCUCACCAGGGAUAAACCCUCACAGACCCCAUGGUGUUAGAGCAGCUCACCAGGGAUGAACCUCACAGACCCCAUGGUGUUAGAGCAGCUCACCAGGGAUAAACCACACAGACCCCAUGGUGUCAGAGAAGCUCACCAGGGAUAAACCACACAGACCCCAUGGUGUCAGAGCAGCUCACCAGGGAUAAACCACACAGACCCCAUGGUGUUAGAGCAGCUCACCAGGGAUAAACCACACAGACCCCAUGGUGUUAGAGCAGCUCACCAGGGAUAAACCACACAGACCCCAUGGUGUUAGAGCAGCUCACCAGGCCUAAUCCACACAGAAUGGCAGUGUUUGAAUAGAAAGACUGGAAACCUGUAGGAGGGGGCGAGGCUUCGUCAUAUAGGUUUAUUUCAUUGGUUUAAACGACUCAAGACCCCGCCUUGAUAUUAAAAAAAAGAGUGAGGGAGGGAGACAGUGACAGAGGAGGAGAGAGGAAACAAGAUCAACCAGUGAAACAGUAAGAUAGUCACCUAUUAAUCGGAGUGAUUUUUCGACCGUGCUUUUUGGACAGGAGCACAACACAUACCAUUCAAACCUGUAGGCUCCUUUCCCUAAUCAUGUGUCUCUAUAUAGGCGCCUACACCGGAAACAGCUGCCUAUCCUAUUAUUCCUAGCACUUGGAUAACUAAGUUUUUGGCAUUUAAAGGUGGAUCAGUGUAAUAGCCUACACGAAAUCUGUAGGGGAAAAACAUUUUUCACAACAAGCGGCUGGAUGAUGCUGCUCAUGUGUGUGUAAAAGUCUGCAUUUUCUUCUGAACUUGCGAUAAACGUCAGCUAUUCAGGUAAGAUUUUUAUAAUACAUAUAUUAGAACUAUCACGUUUGACUUAUAAUAAUCUAUACUAGUGUACAAUUGGUUGCAAUAAACGGGCUAUUUUGAUGUCCGCAUAAACUGUGACCAUUUGUGUUGUGUUCACCUCACUGCGCAACUAAGGAAUGGAAAUGGUCGAGUGAAUUGUAUGCUGAGGACAUAUUUUUGACGGACCACGGCGCAAAGCCAUACCUAGUCCUACUGUUAAAAUAUGUAGCCGAAACCUGAAGAUUUACCUCGUAUUUCACUGCCUCUCGUUCAUCUUCUUUCGACUACUGUAGCCUAUCAAGCCAUGUGGCGAUAACGGUGGACAGAGAGACAAGUGGUUUUUGUUUAACAAAAUGGGAAGUGCGUUUUUAUAUUGGUUUAUAGGAAGUUUCCCCGUUUCAACUGGAAGGCUGUAUGUUGAGUUGCUGAUGUGUACCCGGGUCGGGAAUCAGAUUAUGUUCCCGAGUUGUUGUCAUUUUAUACUGAGUGACAUCGUUUAUUGCGGUGGUCAGUGAAAGAUGGAAUGUAUCAAACCACAUCCGAUUUGGUAUCUUUUCUGCAGCACUACCGCAAGCAUUCUGAAAUCUUUUACAUCUGUGAUUACAAUACAGCACAUCUACUGUUGGGAAGCUUUACCAGACAACCAGGCGUGCUUGACGCCCUACAAACCGAAGGCAACGACCUUUAGCCAGUUUACCUCUUCCGCUUUUGAAGAAUUAACGAGAAAACUGCUUUUAUUCAUAGAUCGUCAUUUUGACAGAUGGCUUCUUUUUCUGUUGUUGUUGUUGGUGAACUUUGAGUAGAUAGUGUAUUUGAUAGAAAAACAUUAUGCAGCUAGUGAUUGUUUGUUUUACCCGAGACAGCAUCAUCAAUAUAUUACAUAUUAUCAAUGAACUGUAGGAGAUACUACUGCUGCUGCUUCGCAGUAGGAGAAAGUCACAACCAACGUCUUUGGAAGUUAUGUGAGUUGAGGAGCUCCCCAGAGAUCUAACCUGUAGUGCCCACAUGUUGAAAAGACCCCCCAUUUCAUAGUGUGGGUGAAUUCCAGUCACAUUCAGGCUUUACAUUACUGGGACCAAUCACAUUCAGGCUUUACAUUACUGGGACCAAUCACAUUCAGGCUUUACAUGACUGGGACCAAUCACAUUCAGGCUUUACAUUACUGGGACCAAUCACAUUCAGGCUUUACAUUACUGGGACCAAUCACAUUCAGGCUUCACAUUACUGGGACCAAUCACAUUCAGGCGUUACAUUAGUGGGACCAAUCACAUUCAGGCUUUACAUUACUGGGACCAAUCACAGUCAGGCUUCACAUUACUGGGACCAAUCACAGUCAGGCUUCACAUUACUGGGACCAAUCACAGUCAGGCUUCACAUUACUGGGACCAAUCACAUUCAGGCUUCACAUUACUGGGACCAAUCACUGCCAUGAACUCAAACAAGACACUUUAUUAUAGCUUUUAUCAGUGGUGCUCCACCUCUCAAUGAGUUAGAGAGCUUGUUUAUGCAGCUGGUUUGAUUUAAGAUAGAGCCUAGUUAAUUAGUCCUUAAUUAACCACAUGAGGACACAGCCUGGAGUAUGGAGACAGUAAAGUAGUUAAUUAGUCCUUCACAUGAACAGCCUGGAGUAUAGAGACAGAGUAAUAGACUGGUAGUGUGGGUCUUUACAGCAUGUCAUUGAUGAAUGUAUGACAGAUGAAUGGAGGACAUCCUUAGAAUGAGUCUCGUUGUGUCCCUACCAGAGGGAGAGAAAGGGCUGGAGGAGGGUACACCCAGACUGACACACCGCAGAUCGCAUGCAAACACACACUCCCCUUGUCUUGCCUGCAGGAAUAAGGACACAAGAUGUGUGUAGCCAGGACAUCUGCUCUCUCUUUGGCCAUUGUCAAGGAAACAUGAAGUUGGUAGUGGAAGGGACUGCCAGAGGGACCAACAGCUCACGACAACAAAAGAGGCCUUGUCAGAAACCACCAUUAAGCUGGGUCAGUUCAGUCACAAGUACUGCUAGCUGCAGGAAGGACUCGGGAUCACGCGCUCACCGGCUUAUAACGUCCUCAGAGUAUUAUUUCAGCUAGUCCUCUCUAGCCUUGUCAGGUAGAGUCACCAUCACACUAUUCACAGAAGAGAAAGGAGAAAUUCAAGUUGCUUUGGUUCAUAAUUUUUCUUCAGUGUUUUCAGACUCUAGUGGUUAGUGGGUAUAGUGUGCCUAUCAGGUUUCAGGUAAGACCCAAGUGCAGACUGUGUUGAGGUAACAAUGUUUAUUGCAACGACAGGUCAAGGCAGGCAAACGACAGGUCAAGGCAGGCAAACGACAGGUCAAGGCAGGCAAACGACAGGUCAAGGCAGGCAAACGACAGGUCAAGGCAGGCAAACGACAGGUCAAGGCAGGCAGGGGUCGAUAAUCCAGAGCAGGGGCCAAGGUACAGGACGGCAGGUAGGCCCAGGGACAAGCAGAGGUCAGCAGUCCAGAGCAGGGGCCAAGGUACAGGACGGCAGGCAGGCUCAGGUCAAGCAGAGGUCAACAGUCCAGAGCAGGGGCCAAGGUACAGGACGGCAGGCAGGCUCAGGUCAAGCAGAGGUCAACAGUCCAGAGCAGGGGCCAAGGUACAGGACGGCAGGCAGGCUCAGGACAGGCAAGGGUCAAAACCAGGAGGACGAGGGAAAAAGAGAGACUGAGGAAAAGCGCUGGUUGACUUAAACAAACAAGACGAACUGGCACAGAUAGACAGAAAACACAGGUAUAAAUACACAGGGGAUAAGUGGGUAAGAUGGGUGACACCUGGAGGGGGAUGGAGACAAGCACAAAGACAGGUGAAACAGAUCAGGGUGUGACAGUAUCCUUACUCCCUUAGAGUUAAUUAGUCCUCUCUCUCUAGCCUUGUCAGGUACAGUCAUACUCCAAACUGUUCACUGAAGAGAAUUUAAACUGUUUCAUCUCUUUUCAGUUAUUUUUGGAUUAGUGUGGCUAGUGAGUUUACACUGAGUGUACAAAACAUUAGGAACACCUGCUCUUUCAAUGAGACUGACCAGGUUAAAGAUAUGAUCCCUUAUUGAUGUCACUUGUUAAAUCCACUUCAAUCAGUGUAGAUGAAGGGGAGGAGACGGGUUAAAGAAGGAUUUUUAAGCCUUGAGACGUGAGACAUGGAUUGUGUAUGUGUGCCAUUCAGAGGGUGAAUGGGAAAGACCAAAUAUUUAAGUGCCUUUGAACAGGGUAUGGUAGUAGGUGUCAGGUGCACCAGUUUGUGUCAAGAACUGCAACACUGCUGGGUUUUUCACGCUCAACAGUUUCAAUCAAUCAAUCAAUCAAUCAAUCAAAUGUAUUUAUAGAGCCCUUUUUACAACAGCAGUUGUCACAAAGUGCUUAUACAGAAACAGGCAUAAAACCCCAGAGAGCAACCAAUGCAGGUGUAGAAGCACGGUGGCUAGGAAAAACUCCCUAGAAAGGCUGGAACCUAAGAAGAAACCUAGAGAGGAACCAGGCUCUGAGGGGGUGGCCAGUCCUCUUCUGGCUGUGCCGGGUGGAGAUUAUAACAGAACAUGGCCAUUUAAGGCCAGAUUGUUCUUCAAGAUUUUCAAACGUUCAUAGAAGACCAGCAGGGUCAAAUAAUAAUCAGUGAUUUUAGAGGGUGCGAGAGGUCAGCACCUUAGGAGUUAAUGUCAGUUGGCUUUUCAUAGCCGAGCAUCCAGAGGCCGAGACAGCAUGUGCAGGGGGGGGUCUAGUGAACAGGUCAGGGUUCCAUAGCCGCAGGCAGAACAGUAGAAAAUGGAGCAGCAGCACGACCAGGUGGACUAGGGACGGGGACAGCCAGGAGUCGUCAUGCCAGGAAGUCCUGAGGCAUGUUCCUAAGGCUCAGGUCCUCCGGGAGGGGAGAGAGAGAGAUGGGAGAAUUAGAGAGAGCAUACUUGCGUUCAUACAGGACACCAGAGAUUUACACCAGAAAAGACAGAAGAUUUACACCGGAUAAGACAGGAGAUUUACACCAGUUAUGAGACUGAACCUAGCCCCCCCCCCCAGCACAUAGACUAUUGCAGCAUAGAUACUGGAGACUGUAUCAAGAAUGGUCCACCACCCAAAGGACAUCCAGCCAUGUUGACAUGACUGUGGGAAGCAAUGGAGUGAACAUGGGCCAUCAUCCUUGUGGAACGCCUUCGACACCUUGUAGAAUUGAGGCUGUUCUGAGGGCAAAAGGGGGGUGCAACUCAAUAUUAGGAAGGUGUUCCUAAUGUUUUGUACACUGUUGUCAUCAUUCGAAAGACUUGCUUUCCACCCACAUGAGAUACCAUAUUUCUGUCAAUAUCCCAUUUUCUCUCUCAUAUUUUCUACUGCAUUACAGUACAGUCCAUGUUACAGUACAGUCCAUGUUACAGUACAGUACAGUCCAUGUUACAGUCCAUGUUACAGUACAGUCCAUGUUACAGUCCAUGUUACAGUUCAUUACAUGUUACAGUCCAUGUUACACCACAGUCCAUGUUACAGUCCAUGUUACACUACAGUCCAUGUUACACUACAGUCCAUGUUACACUUCAGUCCAUGUUACAGUACAGUCCAUGUUACAGUCCAUGUUACACUACAGUCCAUGUUACAGUAUAGUCCAUGUUACAGCCCAUGUUACACUACAGUCCAUGUUACAGUCCAUGUUACAGUACAGUCCAUGUUACACUACAGUCCAUGUUACAGUCCAUGUUACACUACAGUCCAUGUUACAGUCCAUGUUACACUACAGUCCAUGUUACACUUCAGUCCAUGUUACAGUACAGUCCAUGUUACAGUCCAUGUUACACUACAGUCCAUGUUACACUACAGUCCAUAUUACACUACAGUCCAUGUUACACUACAGUCCAUGUUACACUACAGUCCAUGUUACAGUCCAUGUUACACUACAGUCCAUGUUACACUUCAGUCCAUGUUACAGUACAGUCCAUGUUACAGUCCAUGUUACACUACAGUCCAUGUUACACUACAGUCCAUGUUACACUACAGUCCAUGUUACAGUCCAUGUUACAGUCCAUGUUACACUACAGUCCAUGUUACACUACAGUCCAUGUUACACUACAGUCCAUGUUACAGUCCAUGUUACAGUAUAUAAUAACAGUCACAGCAGACUCUGGCAACAUCCCAAAUGGCGCCUUAUUCCCUAUAUAGUGCACUACCUUUGAUCAGAGCCCUACACUACAUAGGGAAUAGGGUGCUAUUUGGGACGCGACAUCUCUUACUCUAUGGGUGAAUAACAGUCUCCGUUAAGCCCUGCGUUAAAAUGUUCUCAUGUUGAGGACCACUAUGGUGGAUUUAUAGGUGAUGGUUCUCCUGUUGAGGACCACUAUGGUGGAUUUAUUGAUGAUGGUUGAGGACCACUAUGGUGGAUUUAUAGGUGAUGGUUGAGGACCACUAUGGUGGAUUUAUAGGUUAUGGUUCUGUUGAGGACCACUAUGGUGGAUUUAUAGGUGAUGGUUGAGGACCACUAUGGUGGAUUUAUAGGUGAUGGUUCUCCUGUUGAGGACCACUAUGGUGGAUUUAUAGGUGAUGGUUGAGGACCACUAUGGUGGAUUUAUAGGUGAUGGUUCUCCUGUUGAGGACCACUAUGGUGGAUUUAUAGGUGAUGGUUCUCCUGUUGAGGACCACUAUGGUGGAUGUAUAGGUGAUAGUUGAGGACCACUAUGGGGGAUGUAUAGGUGAUGGUUGAGGGCCACUAUGGUGGAUUUAUAGGUGAUGGUUCUCCUGUUGAGGACCACUAUGGUGGAUGUAUAGGUGAUAGUUGAGGACCACUAUGGGGGAUGUAUAGGUGAUGGUUGAGGACCACUAUGGUGGAUUUAUAGGUGAUGGUUCUCCUGUUGAGGACCACUAUGGUGGAUUUAUAGGUGAUGGUUCUCCUGUUGAGGACUACUAUGGUGGAUGUAUAGGUGAUGGUUCUCCUGUAUACAUUAGAUAUCUGAUGCCUAUACUGUACCAUUCUGCCCUCCAUGGAACUAAUCAUACGUUAGUAGUGUACGUCCCUGCUGGCACUGAUCAGUGCUGGUUGGUUUCCCCCUCUAGUUAAAAUGGAGGCUGUGUGUUAACGCCUAGAGGGGAUAGUCCAGAAGCACUAGUGUUUUCUGACUGAACAGAGAGGAAAUAGAUCCUCCCUCUAGCUCAGCCCGUCUGAGUCGUCUUUUGGUUUUGUUUUCCUGUUUGAUAAGUGAAAGGACCGGGUCAGAAUCAGGAAUGUUAAGAAAGAGGACAUUUGACGGUAGUGGUGCUAUCGGGGCAGCUCCACUGUAUAGUACAAAUAGUUAAUGAAUGGCUCCCUGUGUUUCUUUUGGGUCAAUUUGAAUAUGUGCUUUUAAUUGGUCUCUGUAGGUCUCUGUCUUCUCUCUCUCUCUCUCUCUCUCUCUCUCUCUCUCUCUCUCUCUCUCUCUCUCUCUCUCUCUCUCUCUGUCUCUGUCUCUGUCUCUGUGUCUGUGUCUCUCUCUCUGUCUUCUUUCUUUCUCCUUGUCUCUUCCCUCUCUCUCUCUCUCUCUCUCUCUCUCACCAUGACUGACUAGCUUCUCUUUCACUCACUCACUCACUCACUCACUCACUCACUCACUCACUCACUCACUCACUCACUCACUCACUCACUCACUCACUCACUCACUCACUCACUCACUCACUCACUCACUCACCACGACUGACUAGCUGCUCUCUCUCUUUCACCAAGACACACACACACACACACACACACACACACACACACACACACACACACAUACAUACAUACAGGUGUAUGGUGCCAGUCUGAUGUAAUGUCAAGCAAUGGAGCAGUGAUAGACACCAAUUAUCAUCCUAGUUAUUCAUUAUUUUCUGUCUUACAACUUAAUACUCUUUUAAUUGAAUGUCUAUUAAUUGAUGUGCUCCUGAGUCCAUACUUGGUAAUAUAAUCCACCAAGGAGAUGUCAAAGACAAAAGUCUUUAUUAUCUUAAGGAGAGGAGUCUACUGAGAUGUUAAAGUCCCCUGCUCAGUCGGUGUAUCUCGUUAUAAAACGGACAUCCUGUCAAAUGAAAAUGACAACGUAUCAUCAUCCGUAUUAAAAAGGGGUAAAGGAAUUGCUAUUAAAUAAUGAACUCAGCCGUGCUCUUGUUGUAAUGUCAGCCUGCUUAUAUAGGGGGUGUGAUUAUGGUAUUUUAUGAAGCGUCUUCUCAACGAGGAGUAAAAACCAAGCUUCAAGGUUAAAUGUGUGAAGGCCAAGCGUUUGGAGGGUGAGGCGGUGCGAGGGGAGGGUUGAUAAAUUUCACAUCCCGUAAUGUGAUUUGCGAUAUCUCCUCUUCUCCUGCCCUUGGUAGUGGGAGAUGUGGCGAGGUAUUAUUAACGACGCUCUGCCGUGUAAGUGUUUACAGAAAUAUUAAACAGAAUCGAUGAGAGAAGGUGUGGAUGAUUACAAAUUCACCAUCAUUCCAGCUUCCCAGCUUGAUGUUUCGUUACUGAAUACAAAUUCACUGGUUAAACCACUGGUGUGCAGUAGUAAAAAUGAGUGUAGAGAGACACCGCAAACACGUGAGGACCAGGAUGGGCGGUAGUUCCAGGAAGACAUCAGAGAGCAUAAUUCAUUCCAGGGCAUUCUAUAAGACCAGGGUGUGUGUGUGUGUGUGUGUGUGUGUGUGUGUGUGUGAGAAGGCUGUUCAUUGACUACAGCUCAGCGUUCAACACCAUAGUGCCCACGAAGCUCAUCACUAAAGUAAGGACCCUGAGACUAAACACCUCCCUCUGCAACUGGAUCCUGGACUUCCUGACGGGCCACCCCCAGGUGGUAAGAGUAGGCAACAACACGUCUGCCACGCUGAUCCUUAACACUGGAGCCCCUCAGGGGUGUGCACUUAGUCCCCUCCUGUAUUCCCUGUUUACCCACGACUGCGUGGCCAAACACGACUCCAACACCAUCAUUAAGUUUGCUGACGACACAAUAGUGGUAGGCCUGAUCACCGACAACGAUGAGACAGCCUAUAGCGAGGAGGUCAGAGACCUGGCAGUGUGGUGCCAGGACAACAACCUCUCCCUCAACGUGAGCAAGACAAAGGAGCUGAUCAUGGACUACAGGAAAAGGCGGGCCGAACAGGCCCCCAUUAACAUCGACGGGGCUGUAGUGGAGCGGGUCGAGAGUUUCAAGUUCCUUGGUGUCCACAUCACCAACAGACUAUCAUGGUCCAAACACACCAAGACAGUCGUGAAGAGGGCACAGCAAAACCUUUUCCCCCUCAGGAGACUGAAAAGAUUUGGCAUGGGUCCCUAGAUCAUCAAAAGUUUCUACAGUUGCACCAUCGAGAGCAUCCUGACCGGUUGCAUCACUGCCUGGUAUGGCAACUGCUCGGCAUCUGAGCAUAAGGCGCUACAGAGGGUAGUGCGAACGGCCUAGUACAUCACUGGGGCCAAGCUUCCUACCAUCCAGGACCUAUAUACCAGGCGGUGUCAGAGGAAGGCCCAUAAAAUUGUCAGAGACUCCAGUCACCCAAGUCAUAGACUGUUCUCUCUGCUACCGCACGGUAAGCGGUUCCGGAGCGCCAAGUCUAGGUCCGAGAGGCUUCUGAACAGCUUCUGCCCCCCCAAGCCAUAAGACUCCUGAACAGCUAAUCAAAUGGCUACCCUGACUAUUUGCAUUCCCCCCCCUCUCCUCCUGUUUUACACCACUGCUCCUCUCUGUUGUUAUCAUCUAUGCAUAGUCACUUUAAUACGUUUACAUACACCUUAGCCAAAUACAUUUAAACUCCGUUUUUCACAAUUCCUGACAUUUAAUCCUAGUAAAGAAUUCCCUGUUUUAGGUCAGUUAGGAUCACCACUUUAUUUUAAGAAUGGCUAGCUACUAGUACUGUUAGCUAGCCAGAUAGCCACAAAUAAUAGUUAGCUAGCCAGCUACCCACAAAGAAUUGGUAUCUACCUUGCAUAACGUUAGUUUUAGGUCAUAUAGUGUACAUAUACUGUAUCUAGCUGAUAGUUAUGAAGUAAUACGUUUGCUUUUUGUAUAUCUUGUUUGGUCUCUAUUGUUGUCAUUGUCCUGGCUGGAAGAAUGUUCAGUGAAUGGAGAGGUGCAGCGUGAGGUAAUACAGUAGGGGGGAGUGCUGCUCAGCGUGAGGUAAUAUAGUAGGGGGAGUGCUGCUCAGCGUGAGGUAAUACAGUAGGGGGAGUGCUGCUCAGCGUGAGGUAAUACAGUAGGGGGAGUGCUGCUCAGCGUGAGGUAAUACAGUAGGGGGAGUGCUGCUCAGCGUGAGAUAAUACAGUAGGGGGAGUGCUGCUCAGCGUGAGGUAAUACAGUAGGGGGAGUGCUGCUCAGCGUGAGGUAAUACAGUAGGGGGAGUGCUGCUCAGCGUGAGGUAAUACAGUAGAGGGAGUGCUGCUCAGCGUGAGGUAAUACAGUAGGGGGAGUGCUGCUCAGCGUGAGGUAAUACAGUAGGGGGAGUGCUGCUCAGCGUGAGAUAAUACAGUAGGGGGAGUGCUGCUCAGCGUGAGGUAAUACAGUAGGGGGAGUGCUGCUCAGCGUGAGGUAAUACAGUAGGGGGGAGUGCUGCUCAGCGUGAGGUAAUACAGUAGAGGGAGUGCUGCUCAGCGUGAGGUAAUACAGUAGGGGGAGUGCUGCUCAGCGUGAGGUAAUACAGUAGGGGGAGUGCUGCUCAGCGUGAGGUAAUACAGUAGGGGGAGUGCUGCUCAGCGUGAGAUAAUACAGUAGGGGGAGUGCUGCUCAAAUGGAAUGUUUUAUGUGCUCUCCACACUCUCAUCCUCAGAAGAAGGUACUCAAGAGAACGUACUCAGAGCAUGAGAGUGUGGAGCGUGGUAGUAUGCAUAUUGAGAAACAGACAGAGAUAGACACAGAGUGUGUGUGUGUGUGUGUGUGUGUGUUACUCUGCUCGACCGUCGUUGAUUACUCAUCUGAAUUAGCCAACAGACUACAGGUCACCUUCCUCAUUGACCGACAUGAUAGAUGAUACAACGUUAGUAGUCUGUAUGCCUGUGUGUCAGUGCAUGAUACUGUGUCCAGCACUGCAUGUCAGAGCUCAGUAAUCCAUGCUACGGUUCAGCUGUGUCCAUGAUGCAGUCUCUGUCUCACACACACACACACACACACACACACACACACACACACACACACACACACACACACACACACACACACACACACACACACUCUGUGUCUAUCUCUGGCUGUUUCUCAAUAUGCAUACUACCACGCUCCACACUCUCAUGCUCUGAGUCUGUCCGGCUCCAUAGGGUAGCACAGAGUGUGUGUGUGUGUGUGCGCGUGUGUGUACAGUAGGGAUGGGUUUUUGAAAUAAUUUCACUAUUCGAAUAGUAUCAUGAAUUUUUGUUGGAUACCUGAAAUACAUGUGUUUUUGUAAACAUACGAUUUUUAACCUGAGCACUGCUGCGCGAGGAAAUGAGGCUGGCGUUCGAUUGUUGCAGCUGUGGAGGGGAUGGUAUGUGAGAUGGGAGCGAGCAGACGGAGGGAGAGAGGGAGCAGUAGCCAAAGCAACUCGGCUACAGCCAAAACUAGAUAACUUGCAGCAGCCAACUAGCUAGCUAGGCUAUUUGAGGCUACAGCCAAGACUAGCUAACUUGCAACAGCCAACUAGCUAGCUAGGCUAAUUGAGGCUACAGCCAAGACUAGCUAACUUGCAGCAGCCAACUAGCUAGCUAGGCUAAUUGAGGCUACAGCCAAGACUAGCUUACUUGCAGCAGCCAACUAGCUAGCUAGGCUAAUUGAGGCUACAGACAAGACUAGCUAACUUGCAGCAGCCAACUAGCUAGCUAGGCUAAUUGAGGCUACAGCCAAGACUAGCUAACUUCCAGCAGCCAACUAGCUAGCUAGGCUAAUUGAGGCUACAUGCUGUGCUUUCUCCAUAACCCCAUUCAGAUAAAACCACAGCCUACCUCGUCGUAGUCUACUCCUUCUCAUUUCACUAACUUUUAAAUCAAUAAUUUAAUUACAUCUUGCAUUGUGUUAGAGAACUCUCACUCCUCUUGGUACACAUUGAGCCUCUUUGUCACUUUGAUUUGCCAACAUAAACAAGCUAUACACGUGACGGCUACAAGUCUUUGUUAGGGGGCGCAGGGCUCCCGAGUGGGGCAGUGGUCUAAGGCACUGCAUCUCAGUACUAGAGGCAUCACUACAGACACACCCUGGUUCGAAUCCAGGUUGUAUCACCACCGGCCGUGAUUGGGAGUCCCAUAGGGCGUCGUCCGGGUUUGACUGGUGUAGGCUGUCAUUGUAAAUAAGAAUUUGUUCUUAACUGACUUGCCUAGUUAAAUGAAGGUCAAAUAAAUAAAUAUAUACUGUAUUUAUAGUCCACAUAUUCUAAGUCAGAACAGUCCAGAGCAGUUAAUCUAGUCGGGCAGGCGGGUGUGGGCAGCGAUUGGUUCAAGAGCAUGCAUUUCGUUUUACUUGCAUUUAAGAGCAGUUGGAUACCACGGAAGGAGUGUUGUAUGGCAUUGAAGCUCGUUUGGAGGUUUGUUAGCACAGUGUCCAAAGAAGGGCCAGAUGUAUACAUUAUGGUGACGUCUGCGUAGAGGUGGAUCAAAGAAUCACCCGCACCAAGAGCGACAUCAUUGAUAUAUACAGAGAAGAGAGUCGGCCCGAGAAUUGAACCCUGUGGCACCCCCAUAGAGACUGCCAGAGGUCCAGACAACAGGCCCUCCGAUUUGACACACUGAACUCUGUCUGAGAAGUAGAUAUGAACCACGUGAGGCAGUCAUUUGAGACACCAAGGCUGUUGAGUCUCCUGCUAAGAGUACAGUGAUUGAUAGAGUCGAAAGCCUUGGCCAGGUCGAUGAAGACAGCUGCACAGUACUGUCUUUUAUCGAUGGCGGUUAUGAUAAGGUUUAGGACCUUGAGUAUGGCUGAGGUGCACCCGUGACCAGCUCGGAAACCAGAUUGCAUAGCGGAGAAGGUACGAUGGGAUUCGAAAUGGUCGGUGAUCUGUUUGUUCACUUGGCUUUCGAAGACAUUUGAAAGGCAGGGCAGGAUGAAUAUAGGUCUGUAACAGUUUGGGUCUAGAGUGUCUCCCCUUUGAAGAGGGGGAUGACCGCGGCCGCUUUCCAAUCUUUAUGAAUCUCAGACGGUACGAAAGAGAGGUUGAACAGACUAGUAAUAGGGGUUGCAACAAUGGCGGCGGAUACUUUUAGGAAGAGAGGGUCCAGAUUGUCUAGCCCAGCUGAUUUUUAGGGGUCCAGGUUUUACAGCUCUUUAAGAACAUUUGCUAUCUGGAUUUGGGUGAAGGAGAAGCAGGGGGGGCUUGGGCCAGUAGCUACGGGGGAUGCAGGGCUGUUGGCCGGGGUUGGGGUAGCCAGGUGGAAAGCAUGGCCAGCCGUAGAGAAAUGCUUAUUGAAAUUCUCAAUUAUCAUGGAUUUAUCAGUGGUGACAGUGUUUCCUAUCCUCAGUGCAGUGGGCAGCUGGGAGGAGGUGCUCUUAUGCUCCAUGGACUUUACAGUGUCCCAAAACUUUUGGGAAUUAGUGCUGCAGGAUGCAAAUUUCUGUUUGGAAAAGCUAGCCUUUGCUUUCCUAACUGACUGUGUGUAUUGGUUCCUGACUUCCCUGAAAAGUUUAAUAUUGCGGGGACUAUUAGAAGCUAGUGCAGUACGCCACAGGAUGUUUUUGUGCUGGUGAAGGGCAGUCAAGUCUGGAGUGAACUAAGGGCUAUAUCUGUUCUUAGUUCUACAUUUUUGCUUAUUUAAGAUGGUGAGGAAAGCACUUUUAAAGAACAACCAGGCAUCCUCAACUGACGGGAUGAGGUCAAUAUCCAGUUUGAUUAGAAAGGCCUUCUCGCUGAAUUAUUUUAGGGAGCGUUUGACAGUGAUGAGGGGUGGUCGUUUGACCGCGGACCCAUAACGGAUGCAGGCAAUGAGGGAGUGAUCACUGAGAUCCUGGUUGAAAACAGCAGAGGUGUAUUUAGAGGGCAAGUUGGUCAGGAUGAUAUCUAUGAGGGUGCCCAUGGUUUCGGAUUUGGGGUUGUACCUGGUGGGUUCCUUGAUAAUUUGUGUGAGAUUGAGGGCAUCUAGUUUAGAUUGUAGGAUGGCUGGGGUGUUAAGCAUAUCCCAAUUUAGGUCACCUAGCAGUACGAAUUCUGACGAUAGAUGAGGGGGCAAUCAAUUCACAAAUGGUGUCCAGGGCACAGCUGGGAGCUGAGGCGGGUCUAUAACAAGCGGCAACAGUGAGGGACUUAUUUCUGGAGAGAUGGAUCUUUAAAAGUAGAAGCUCGAACUGUUUGGGCAUAGACCUGGAUAGUAUGACAGAACUCUGCAGGCUAUCUCUGCAGUAGAUUGCAACUCCACCCCCUUUAGCAGUUCUGUCUUGACGGAAAAUGUUGUAAUUGGGGAUGGAAAUUUGAGGAUUUUAGGUUGCCUUCCUAAGCCAGGAUUCCGAAACGUUUAGGACAUCAGGGUUGGCAGAGUGUGCUAAAGCAGUGAAUAAAACAAACUUAGGGAGGAGACUUCUGAUGUUAACAUGCAUGAACCCAAGGCUUAAACUCCAGAGGUGAGGUCUAAUGGCAGCAGAACUACAGUAAACCCCAGAGGGGAGGUCUAAUGGCAGCAGAACUACAGUAAACCCCAGAGGUGAGGUCUAAUGGCAGCAGAACUACAGUAAACCCCAGAGGGGAGGUCUAAUGGCAGCAGAACUACAGUAAACCCCAGAGGGGAGGUCUAAUGGCAGCAGAACUACAGUAAACCCCAGAGGUGAGGUCUAAUGGCAGCAGAACUACAGUAAACCCCAGAGGUGAGGUCUCAUGGCAGCAGAACUACAGUAAACCCCAGAGGUGAGGUCUAAUGGCAGCAGAACUACAGUAAACCCCAGAGGUGAGGUCUAAUGGCAGCAGAACUACAGUAAACCCCAGAGGGGAGAUCUAAUGGCAGCAGAAAUACAGUAAACCCCAGAGGUGAGGUCUAAUGGCAGCAGAACUACAGUAAACCCCAGAGAUCCAGAGGUGAGGUCUAAUGGCGGUGGGAGGAGAAUUAGUUUGUUGUAACUUGGCAAGAUGAUUGGCUAUGGUGUGACAUUAACCUCCUCCUGGAUGCUAAUGAAACCAGUUAUGUCCUUGGAGAGUUAUGGAGGAUUAUUUCUCAACCCUCAAUAUCUUCUUUUCUCCUCCCUUCUUCUCCCUCCUCUUCACCCUCUUUUCCUUUCCUCCCUCUCCUCUCCUCUCCUCCCCCUCAUCUCCUCUCCUCCCCCUCAUCUCCUCUCCUCCCCCCUCAUCUCCUCUCCUCCCCCCUCAUCUCCUCUCCUCUCCUCCCCCCUCAUCUCCUCUCCUCCCUCCCCUCCUCCUCUCCUCUCCUCCCUCCCCCUCAUCUCCUCUCCUCUCCUCCCUUCUCUCCCCUUUUCUCCUGUCCUCCAAUAACAGUAUAGCUCUCCGCCAGAUGCCCAAUACAGGAAGUGGCUCAAAGACACAUACACACCAGCUACCAGACACAGACAUGUUAGUCACCUUGUAGGUUUGUUUUCAACCUGAGGGGAGAGUUCUACAUCAUACUAUCAUACCUUCAACCUGAGGGGAAAGUUCUACAUCAUACCUUCAACCUGAGGGGAGAGUUCUACAUCAUACUAUCAUACCUUCAACCUGAGGGGAGAGUUCUACAUCAUACUAUCGUACCUUCAACCUGAGGGGAGAGUUCUACAUCAUACUAUCAUACCUUCAACCUGAGGGGAGAGUUCUACAUCAUACUAUCAUACCUUCAACCUGAGGGGAGAGUUCUACAUCAUACUAUCAUACCUUCAACCUGAGGGGAG
This 15585-nucleotide long non-coding RNA is filed under the name Salmo salar (Atlantic salmon). Its description in RNAcentral is "lncRNA (ENSSSAG00000085585.1)". Lineage: Eukaryota; Metazoa; Chordata; Actinopteri; Salmoniformes; Salmonidae. The record is from RNAcentral.